Molecule: RNA transcript, 4668 nt
Organism: Dermacentor silvarum
Lineage: Eukaryota; Metazoa; Arthropoda; Arachnida; Ixodida; Ixodidae
Gene name: sister chromatid cohesion protein DCC1
Exons: 2
Source: RefSeq, a predicted model, not a curated record
CGAGCUUCUUGCGCGCGUCAUUGCGCGCGUCAGCACGCCUGUGCAACACUUGGUAGGUGUGAGGAGGCAGUGAUGCAAAUUCUCCUCCUUGGUGUGAUGUGACUCGUUGGUGUGACUAAACCCUAAACCGGAAGCAUAUCACGCAUAUGCGGUAAAGAACGGGGAAGAUGGCGCCUCCGCGUAUCGUGCGAACGCCAUCCGAGGAGCAGGAGCGGAGGUUUCGUUGUGCCGAAGCGAGACGCGCCCGCAUACGUGCCCUGACCGAGGAACAACGUGCCAAUGUGCGCGCGAUGAACGCUGCAGCGCAACGGCGGAGGCGCCAAAGACCCGAAGUGCGGGCACAAGAGGCCGCAGAACGCGUACGACGUAGAGAAGAGAUCAAACGGGAGGCAGAGGAAAAACGAAAACGCCAACAAAACGCUGCAGCGCGUGCGCGGGAUGCUGCAGCACAUCGCGAAGACGCGGCAGUGUUGGAACAGGAGGUAGAGGCAAGACCACAGCAGUUCACUGCAGUGUUUGUGAACGCCGAAGUGCAGCACGAACGGCGCCAAGAUGCGGCGGUGCGGGAACAGGAGGUAGAUGAAAAGCUGCGACAUCGACAGUGCGCUGCAGUGCGUGUGAAAACCGAAGCACAGGACGAAUGGCGUCAAGACGCAGUGCGGGAUCAGGAUAGUGAUGCACAUCACGAACGUCGCCAAGACGCGGCAGUGCUGGACUCGGAGGCAAGGCAACGUCAACGAGACCUUGUACUGUGUGCGCAAGAGGCUGAAGCACAUCACAAACGGUGCCAAGACGCAGCUUUACUGGAACAGAAGUUGGAGGCUAGGUUAAAACAUCGGCAGUGCAGCACAAUGCGUGUGAAUAUUGAAGCACAUCACAAACGGUGCCAAGACGCUGCAAUGUGGGCACAGGAGACAGAGGAGAGGCAGCGUCAACAAAACCAUGCAGUACGUGCGCAAGAUGCAGAAGCACAUCGCGAAUGGUCCAAAAGCGCGGCAGUGCGGGAUCAGAAGGCUGGAGAAAGCCAGAAAUGGUGUAAACAGGUUGCAGUGUGGUGGGAGCAGGAGGCCGAAGCACAUCGUGCAUGGCGCCACGACAUGGCAUUGUGGGAACAGGUGGCCGAAGGACGUCAUGAAUGGCACCAAGACGCGGCAGCGCUGGAACAAGAGGCAGAGCGACAGUGCAGCGCAGUGCUUGUGCAGCAGACCAAGGCACAUUGUGAACGGCAGCUAGAGGCGGCAGGGCGGGAGCAACAGGCAGAGGAAAGGCGACAACGCCGACAAGACCGUGUAGUACGUGCGCAAGAGGCCGAAGCACAUUGCAAACGGCGUCAAUGCCCUUCAGUGCGUGAACAUGACGCGCGCUCAAAACAACGACGACGCAUGGUGGAGAGCCUGCAGCGGCUAUACGCUGUUAUAUGUGCUACCAGCAGUCGUGGCACAACAGACCUACAGAGCAUUACACAGUGCAAGUGCAUUGGAAGUUGAUGUACAGACUUGGCAUUCAUUUUAAAAAUAGGGCCACAUAGCACUUUCCUCCGUGCCGCAUAGUUACCGAAAGUUUCUUUUGCUCUCACAUCCUGGAUUUUGCCAACUGAAGAAAAAACAGAACCAGAUAUAUGUGCCUGUCUGUAAACUUGGGAAACUUGGUUUUGCAUCUUCAAACUUGAGGCACAAAAGGACGAGGACACAGAGCACUUUGCAUGUCUUAUUCUGCCUCCAUCUCACUGUCUCCUUUUGCAUCUUAUGCCUUAUACAUACUUGCAACUGCAGUGCACAUAUUAAAAGUAAUCUUUGCAAUGAAGGUUACGGUGGCACCUUCUAUCAUAGGUAGGCAAAGCAAUCACUGCAAAUAAGAUAUGCACAGAGCAGCUUUGCCCUUCUGGUGACACAUAUGGUGCUGCUGUUCCUUCUGCAAGUGGACCACAUUAUUUUGUCUGGUAUUGUCGCACAUGAUAAGUAAAUACUGCAGCCCAACAUAAUAUUAAACGAAAUGCACCACAAAGUGUGAGCACAAUCACAUUAGUGGUUUAAAUGAAAAAUCUUUUUCUACCCAACUUCCUUUCCAAUGCAAGAUUCAGUAGAUAUCAAAAUGAUGAUAUUGACUGGAAUGUAUGCUUGGGUCGGUUGAUGUGACAUUAAUACCAGUGAAGCAGUUCGUAAAACGUGGACAGAGAGGAAGCUCCAAGCUUCAGCGCAUAUGAGCAGUGGGCUUCGUUCGUCUCCAAAGGCGACAUCAGUGCUUCGUGUUACCUUGUUUAAAUGGUGCUAGAAUAAAAUAGACACUGUGUCAAGCUGCUAAUGCAACUUUAAUAUUAAUGUUUAAUUCAGUUUUAGUUCCUGUUUCAAGGACUCGAAGCCUUCACAAAGUAAAAUCUGUAGCUGAAGAGGAUUGAAAGAAGGGGUCAAUUCUUGUUAUCGAGAAAUGGUGUGAAACAUGAGCCUGUCGGCGUCUCUUGUUGAGGCAUAGUCGGAUUUUAACCAAUCUUUCAUCUCCCUUUCUACCUCUGGUCAUUUUAGCACAAGGGUGGUAGCCAUUUGGUUGUGGUACAGCUUGCAGCGACCCUUUGCUGAAGAAACACAAAAACAUUCACAACUAAGAGCAUGCCUAUUCAUAGCCUUCAAAAACAAAAAAAAACAAAAACAAAAAACAGCUGCUUGAAAUUCGAACGAGAAGCAUAAGUUGCCGUUUAGUCCUCUCUGUCCAUAUGGGUGUCACUAUCUGAAAAAUGGCAAAAAGAAAAAUAGUACAGCAUAUGCAUGAUUUCACGCCAUGCGAAUAGAAGCACCCCAUCAAUCUCUGUCAUUUGGUUCCGCUAGAGAAGUGUUGUCAGCUCAAGCAUGCAAGCUUCUCAAUGACACCCCUGUCACGUGCUCAUGUCGCUGCUUGCAGAUGCUCCUCCAUUGCUCAGACGCUGUCGCUACUUGAAAAAGAGGCUUUGGGGCUCCCGCGAUAGCUGUCGUACCGCUUUUGUGCAGAAAUUGCUGUCAUGUAAAACAGCCUUCAAUCGGUGCUUUUGUAUCUGUCCCUACACUUUCUUUCUGUAUGUAUUCUUCAUUAAUUCAUCGGUUGUAAUGCUGGCAGUGGGUGACAAACUAAGAACACAGUGGUAAAUCCACUCUUGGCCAGCUUCAAAGUUUGUAUAGAUGUGCUAGUCAAUUACAUUCACUUAUUACUGUAAUGUCACAGCAGAGGCAAACUUUUUUCAGUAUUGCAGUUUCUCGGUUUCUAUGUUUUGGAGUGAGGAGCCACAUAUGGUAGGCACAGUUGUUUGUGGGCUGAGCUCGUACUGAAUUCUUACGUUGUCACCGAGUGUCACUUUCUGAAGUAUUCAAAUAACAUCAUGGCAGAGCCAGCCAUUAACUGCUGCGGUAAAAUGUCUCUGGUGAGAUUACAGUGUUCUAGUGCCACCGAGAGGCAGACAUGUUUGCUACUGAGCUGUCGCUUGAGGUUCGAUUUAAUAGUUCGUCUGGAGACCGCGAGGUGUACGACACACCUUCAGCAAUGUCUCUUGGGUACAUGUGUGUUUCAGAGGCAAGAAUAGUAAGCGCUUGACUAGCACUGACUAAAACUAGGUGAAAUUGGAGUGGUCAGUAACAAAAAUGAUGAAAUACUGAGCUAGCAAAAACGAAUUGUCACAAUUCACCACACAGUGGUGGCUACCUGCUGCUACUAACAAUGAAAUUUGGACUUUGAGACCGGUGAAGUGCAGGUCAGGUGACGAGAACAUGAUUGUGGCUUCAUGCACACAUUUCAUGCUCUCACCUUAUUUUCUACAUAGGGUAGCUAAAGGUUAUUUUUAGUUAUAUGCAUUUAUCCCCGUGUGAUUACUGCAACUUUACAUUUUUUUGUAAACGUUUCUUUCUCUCUGAUGUUCACAAUUGAUGCUGCUGCUGCAUGACUUGAUGGUAUAGAGGAUGUAAAUACACCAUAGCAGGGCCACCGUGAAUGUAACUUCACCUUUUGUCAUGGGAAGAUAAGCCCGGAUCAUGCCUUGUCUUCCGAGUUUUGCUGGUUCAAGACCGCUGCCCUGACACACUCGGCAUGCAGCAUUUUACCUUGCUCAACCAACCGCAAACCGGCUCUGUCCUCUUUGAACAUGACACGUCAAGUUGUUUGCAUGUGCCUUGAACAUCUCACCCAUCACAUUCCUGUGCCCCUCUGAAACCUGGACAGAGGUUCAAGAUGCACAGCUACAGAAAUGUUGCAAAGUGAGCUAGUCAUAGGGCUGUGGUAUUGGUAAUGAGCCUUUAAAGGAAACCAAAUUUGAAUUGUGAGGAGUUUCCUAGGGAUUUCUUCCCUCAAGUAAGCUGUGGCAACACAUGUGCUGUGGGGACCUCUGAAAGGACCUCUCACCUGGAAUAUUCAAGCAUGACAUCACCAUGUUCACGAUUCGGAACAACCCUGCAGUAUAAUUUCAGAAUGCACUGGGACUCGCUACCAGAGACUUCAGUGCUGAUGUCAUGGAUCAACCACAUUUUUUUUGUGUUUAUUCCCAUUGAAGUUGGUUUGUACAUGCUUUCGGGCAGCGCUUUACCUACUACCUACAGCAGCAGCUGUCUCAAUCUCAUCUCGGGAGGAAAAGUGACCCUGCAACUGUACUGCGUGCCAUUACCAAGCUACUUUAGCUUUCACAAUGUGGUACUUGCAGUGUUGGAGUGAAUAAAC